GAUGAACGCUGGCGGCGUGCCUAAUACAUGCAAGUCGAGCGAACAGAUGAGGAGCUUGCUCCUCUGACGUUAGCGGCGGACGGGUGAGUAACACGUGGAUAACCUACCUAUAAGACUAGGAUAACUUCGGGAAACCGGAGCUAAUACCGGAUAAUAUAUUGAACCGCAUGGUUCAAUAGUGAAAGACGGUUUUGCUGUCACUUAUAGAUGGAUCCGCGCCGCAUUAGCUAGUUGGUAAGGUAACGGCUUACCAAGGCAACGAUGCGUAGCCGACCUGAGAGGGUGAUCGGCCACACUGGAACUGAGACGCGGUCCAGACUCCUACGGGAGGCAGCAGUAGGGAAUCGUCCGCAAUGGGCGAAAGCCUGACGGAGCAACGCCGCGUGAGUGAUGAAGGUCUUCGGAUCGUAAAACUCUGUUAUUAGGGAAGAACAAAUGUGUAAGUAACUAUGCACGUCUUGACGGUACCUAAUCAGAAAGCCACGGCUAACUACGUG
Molecule: ribosomal RNA, 497 nt
Filed under: uncultured bacterium
Lineage: Bacteria
Description: partial 16S ribosomal RNA
Rfam family: Bacterial small subunit ribosomal RNA
Source: RNAcentral